Molecule: ribosomal RNA, 460 nt
Filed under: uncultured Flavobacterium sp.
Lineage: Bacteria; Pseudomonadati; Bacteroidota; Flavobacteriia; Flavobacteriales; Flavobacteriaceae
Description: bacterial SSU rRNA
Rfam family: Bacterial small subunit ribosomal RNA
Source: RNAcentral
CCUACGGGCGGCUGCAGUGAGGAAUAUUGGACAAUGGGCGCAAGCCUGAUCCAGCCAUGCCGCGUGCAGGAUGAAGCAUCUAUGGUGUGUAAACUGCUUUUGUACGAGAAGAAACACUCCUUCGUGAAGGGGCUUGACGGUAUCGUAAGAAUAAGGAUCGGCUAACUCCGUGCCAGCAGCCGCGGUAAUACGGAGGAUCCAAGCGUUAUCCGGAAUCAUUGGGUUUAAAGGGUCCGUAGGCGGGCCAGUAAGUCAGUGGUGAAAUCUCCCGGCUCAACCGGGAAAUGGCCAUUGAUACUGCUGGUCUUGAAUUAUUAGGAAGUAACUAGAAUAUGUAGUGUAGCGGUGAAAUGCUUAGAGAUUACAUGGAAUACCAAUUGCGAAGGCAGGUUACUACUAAUGGAUUGACGCUGAUGGACGAAAGCGUGGGUAGCGAACAGGAUUAGAUACCCCAGUAGUC